UAGCUGAAAAGCUAGAAAGAGCAUAUAGGGAACCAUUGAUGACAGAGAGACACAUUGUAUUACUCAACAAUUCAAGACAAGUGAAAGUGUGGAGAAAGAUGCAGAGGGUAAAGAUGAAGAGGAGAAAGAAGAAGAAGAAGAAGAGGAAUGUGGUCCUGAGCAUCAAAUGGUGCCGGAUGAAGAAGUGGAAAGGAUAACUAUUGAAGCUUUCACGGGUGUACUAGCUGAAAACAGUCCAAAACCAACCAAGAAAAAGAGGAAACAGGUGGACCCUUCAUCUCCUGUAUAGAAUGUGAAAAAUGAGACAAGAAUAGAGAAGAGGGAGGAAGGUUUCGUCUAUGAAGACCUGAAGAAGGUAAAGAAGAAUAAACAAGAGGAGAUGGAUAAUGUGAUACCAAAAUGGAAAGUUGAAAAAACAAAAUUGAGUAAAUGGCUGGCAAAAGAAGACAAAGCUUUGUUGAAUAUAUUCUAUGACCUAAACCAGGGGCAUGCAAAUGAAGAAGUCUGGACGGACUCUGAAACACGUUAUACCAUAACUUUCAAGUCAAUAAUAAAGCUUUUGGAUGACCUAGACAUGGGGAACGAGGUAAUAGACGGGUACACAUCAAUGCUGAAAAGGGAGCAGGAAGUUAAAUGACCGACGCAUGAAAAUAGUGCGUUCUUCACAUCCAGCUGCUGGAUACUUAUCAAAAUGGCAAAUCAGUCCCCCAAAAAGUACCUCCUUGAUAGCAAACUUGAACAACUCUACGAUGAAUUACAUGAUAAGGGCUUAGAUUACUUUCGGUACCUUGUUUUCCCGAUGAACUCUUCAGGAAAUAAGAUGAACAAAAAAUAGCCCAUUUCAUUGGACUAUGCUUGUUUAUGAUAUGCAAGAGGAUGAAUGGAAGCAUUACAAUUCAUUGAAACAAAGAAAGAAGGAGAA
Rhododendron vialii is the source of this 922-nucleotide long non-coding RNA. RefSeq lists it as uncharacterized. The record is from RefSeq and is a predicted model, not a curated record. The transcript is spliced from 4 exons. NCBI's taxonomy places the organism in Eukaryota, Viridiplantae, Streptophyta, Magnoliopsida, Ericales, Ericaceae.